This is a small nucleolar RNA of Nycticebus coucang (slow loris), 78 nucleotides long. RefSeq annotates it as small nucleolar RNA SNORD113/SNORD114 family. The record is from RefSeq and is a predicted model, not a curated record. NCBI's taxonomy places the organism in Eukaryota, Metazoa, Chordata, Mammalia, Primates, Lorisidae. The transcript has a single exon.
UGAGCUACUGAUGACAGCUGGUGGUAUAUGAGUAAUGGAUGAUGACGACUAUUAAGUAUCUGGAACUCUGAAGUCCAA